AGUGGGGGAUAACGUUCGGAAACGGACGCUAAUACCGCAUACGUCCUACGGGAGAAAGCAGGGGACCUUCGGGCCUUGCGCUAUCAGAUGAGCCUAGGUCGGAUUAGCUAGUUGGUGGGGUAAUGGCUCACCAAGGCGACGAUCCGUAACUGGUCUGAGAGGAUGAUCAGUCACACUGGAACUGAGACACGGUCCAGACUCCUACGGGAGGCAGCAGUGGGGAAUAUUGGACAAUGGGCGAAAGCCUGAUCCAGCCAUGCCGCGUGUGUGAAGAAGGUCUUCGGAUUGUAAAGCACUUUAAGUUGGGAGGAAGGGCAGUAAAUUAAUACUUUGCUGUUUUGACGU
RNAcentral lists this ribosomal RNA (345 nucleotides) under Pseudomonas putida. Its description in RNAcentral is "bacterial SSU rRNA". It matches the Rfam family "Bacterial small subunit ribosomal RNA", at positions 135 to 475 of the family's 1533-position model. The record is from RNAcentral. Lineage: Bacteria; Pseudomonadati; Pseudomonadota; Gammaproteobacteria; Pseudomonadales; Pseudomonadaceae.